UACGGAGGGUGUGAGCGUUAAUCGGAAUAACUGGGUGUAAAGGGCACGCGGGCGGGCUUUUAAGUGAGGUGUGAAAUCCCCGGGCUGAACCUGGGAAUAGCAUUUCAGACUGGGAGUCUAGAGUACUUUAGGGAGGGGUAGAAUUCCACGUGUAGCGGUGAAAUGCGUAGAGAUGUGGAGGAAUACCGAAGGCGAAGGCAGCCCCUUGGGAAGGUACUGACGCUCAUGUGCGAAAGCGUGGGGAGCAAACAGG
RNAcentral lists this ribosomal RNA (253 nucleotides) under uncultured bacterium. RNAcentral's name for it is "partial 16S ribosomal RNA". It matches the Rfam family "Bacterial small subunit ribosomal RNA", at positions 524 to 776 of the family's 1533-position model. The record is from RNAcentral.